Molecule: small nuclear RNA, 107 nt
Filed under: Camelus dromedarius (Arabian camel)
Lineage: Eukaryota; Metazoa; Chordata; Mammalia; Artiodactyla; Camelidae
Source: RNAcentral
GUGCUUGCUUCGGCAGCACAUAUAUUAAAAUUGGAAUGACACAGAGAAGAUUAGCAUGGCCCCUGCACAAGGAUGACAUACAAAUUCGUGAAGCGUUCUAUAUUUAA